AGUGGCGGACGGGUGAGUAACGCGUGAGAAUCUGCCUUGGGGUCGGGGACAACCACUGGAAACGGUGGCUAAUACCGGAUAAGCCGAUUGGUGAAAGAUUUAUUGCCCGAAGAGGAGCUCGCGUCUGAUUAGCUAGUUGGUGAGGUAAGAGCUCACCAAGGCAGCGAUCAGUAGCUGGUCUGAGAGGACGAUCAGCCACACUGGGACUGAGACACGGCCCAGACUCCUACGGGAGGCAGCAGUGGGGAAUUUUCCGCAAUGGGCGAAAGCCUGACGGAGCAAGACCGCGUGAGGGAGGAAGGCUCUUGGGUUGUAAACCUCUUUUCUCAGGGAAGAAGUUCUGACGGUACCUGAGGAAUCAGCCUCGGCUAACUCCGUGCCAGCAGCCGCGGUAAUACGGAGGAGGCAAGCGUUAUCCGGAAUUAUUGGGCGUAAAGCGUCCGCAGGUGGCGAUUCAAGUCUGCUGUCAAAGCACGGGGCUUAACUCCGUAAAGGCAGUGGAAACUGAAUAGCUAGAGUGCCGUAGGGGUAGAGGGAAUUCCCGGUGUAGCGGUGAAAUGCGUAGAGAUCGGGAAGAACAUCGGUGGCGAAAGCGCUCUACUGGACGGCAACUGACACUCAGGGACGAAAGCUAGGGGAGCGAAUGGGAUUAGAUACCCC
RNAcentral lists this ribosomal RNA (660 nucleotides) under uncultured bacterium. RNAcentral's name for it is "bacterial SSU rRNA". It matches the Rfam family "Bacterial small subunit ribosomal RNA", at positions 94 to 788 of the family's 1533-position model. The record is from RNAcentral.